This 546-nucleotide ribosomal RNA is filed under the name uncultured Glomeromycotina. Its description in RNAcentral is "SSU rRNA". It matches the Rfam family "Eukaryotic small subunit ribosomal RNA", at positions 548 to 1098 of the family's 1831-position model. The record is from RNAcentral. Lineage: Eukaryota; Fungi; Glomeromycota.
UUGGAAGGCAGUCUGGUGCCAGCAGCCGCGGUAAUCCCAGCUCCAAUAGCGUAUAUUAAAGUUGUUGCAGUUAAAAAGCUCGUAGUUGAUUUCGGGAUCAGAUUGUCGGUCGUGCCUCGGUACGCACUGGCAUUAUUGGUUCCUACCUUCUGAAGAACCGCGAUGUCAUUAAUUUGGUGUCGUGGGGAAUCAGGACUGUUACUUUGAAAAAAUUAGAGUGUUUAAAGCAGGCUUACGCUUGAAUACAUUAGCAUGGAAUAACGAAAUAGGACGUUUGAUUCUAUUUUGUUGGUUUCUAGGAUUGACGUAAUGAUUAAUAGGGAUAGUUGGGGGCAUUAGUAUUCAAUUGUCAGAGGUGAAAUUCUUGGAUUUAUUGAAGACUAACUACUGCGAAAGCAUUUGCCAAGGAUGUUUUCAUUAAUCAAGAACGAAAGUUAGGGGAUCGAAGACGAUCAGAUACCGUCGUAGUCUUAACCAUAAACUAUGCCGACUAGGGAUCGGAUGAUGUUAAUUUUUUAAUGACUCAUUCGGCGCCUUACGGGAAAC